RNAcentral lists this long non-coding RNA (287 nucleotides) under Sinocyclocheilus grahami. RNAcentral describes it as "lncRNA (ENSSGRG00000033064.1)". Lineage: Eukaryota; Metazoa; Chordata; Actinopteri; Cypriniformes; Cyprinidae. The record is from RNAcentral.
UUAAAUUUGUUAAACAUAAAAGGUGAUACCAGGAUGUCUGUAAAUGUUAUACUUUGUCUUUAGGAAACAGAACUUAACAAAAAACUGAGAAAUGAAAUGGCCACAGAAAGGGCAGAGAAGCAGGAGGUAUUGAGAUCCCUCCACCACAGUCAGAGUUUGCUGCAGAGACAGACAGAAUCUCUGAGCCGAGCAGAGAAGGAGCAUCGCAAACUCUGUGAAGAAUAUCAGGUCCUUAAAACAGAACAUGAAUUGAACCAAGAGAGGACUAAAGAAAAAGACGACGGCUU